AGUAAAAAAUUUAUUUUAAUUUAUUAAUAGAAAUAUAUUUAUAUUUAAGUAAUUAUUUGAAUUAUUCAGGUUUGUUAUAGGUAAUUUGUAUUGUUAAAGAAGUUAUUUAAUGAAAUUAAAUGUAAGAAUUUUUAAAUUUAAGUACCUUGUGUAUCAGGGUUUUAUAAAAUGUGAUUUGUAUGGAGAUUUCUCGAGUUACGAAGAGUUAUUAAUUUAUAUAUUUAGUUGUUGAAUAAGUUUUUUAAAUAAAUUAAUAGUAAUGAAAUGUUAUACGUUUUUUAGGAUAUCUAGUUUUUUAAGAAAUAGAUUUAAUUUAUUUAUUUGAAUUUAUAUUUUUUAAUUUUUAGUUAUAUAAUUUGAUUAUUAAGUAGUUUAUGGGAUUAGCUUUAAAUUAGAGUUUUAUAAAUUUUUUUAUAAAAGAAAAUUUAAUGGAAUUAGUGUUAUUUAGAGUAAUAUGUUACAAUUAUCUUUUUUUUUAUAAGAUUUUUUAUUAUUUUACUUUUUAUAUUAAAAUAAUUAAUUUAGUAGGGUAUUUUUUGAAAUUAUGUUUUGAUUAGUAAUAUUGUUAUAAUUAAUUAUAAUAAAAAGUUAGGUUAGAUUAAGGAAUUCGGCAAAUAUAUUCUUCGCCUGUUUAAUAAAAACAUGUCUUUUUGAGUAUAAUUUAAAGUCUAAUCUGCCCAAUGAUCAUUUAAAUGGCCGCGGUAUUUUGACCGUGCAAAGGUAGCAUAAUCAUUAGUUUUUUAAUUGGAAGCUGGAAUGAACGAUUGGACGAGAGAAUAGCUGUCUUUGUUUAAUUAGGGUGAAUUUUAUUUUUUGGUAAAAAAGCUUAAAUUGUUUUAAUAGACGAGAAGACCCUAUAGAGUUUUAUAUUUAUUAACAUAUUUAUUUUGAAGAAAAUUUUUAUGAGUAUUUAUUAGGUAUUUUGUUGGGGCGAUAGAAAAAUUGAAGGAACUUUUUUUUAUUAAAAUCAUUUAUAAAUGUUUAAAUGAUCCUUGUUUUAUGAUUAAAAGAUUAAAUUACCUUAGGGAUAACAGCGUAAUUUUUUUUUAGAGUUCAAAUCGAAAAAAGAGUUUGCGACCUCGAUGUUGGAUUAAAAUUAACUUUUGGUGUAGGGGCUUUUGGGUUAGGUCUGUUCGACCUUUAAAAUUUUACAUGAUCUGAGUUUAAACCGGCGUGAGCCAGGUUGGUUUCUAUCUUUAGGUAAUAAUUGGUAUUUUAGUACGAAAGGAUUGAUUAUUGGUAAUAUUUAUUUGUACUGGGCGUUAAA
Molecule: ribosomal RNA, 1267 nt
Filed under: Apogonia splendida
Lineage: Eukaryota; Metazoa; Arthropoda; Insecta; Coleoptera; Scarabaeidae
Description: 16S ribosomal RNA
Rfam family: Archaeal large subunit ribosomal RNA (bases 842-1196)
Source: RNAcentral